RNAcentral lists this long non-coding RNA (320 nucleotides) under Mytilus galloprovincialis (Mediterranean mussel). The record is from RNAcentral. Lineage: Eukaryota; Metazoa; Mollusca; Bivalvia; Mytilida; Mytilidae.
UGUAGCUUGACAUUUGACAUCAGUGUAGCUACCGUGGUUCUAAGUGACAGGUCUGUAGCUAGUUACAGAGACCAGUGAACAUAGAACAAAGAUAAAAGUUAAGGAAAAAUGUCUACUUGAGGAAUAACCAUGAGUCUAUCAGAAGAAGAGUCAAACUUUCUAAGGUUUUACUUCCUGAAUUUGAAGGUUGCUUCCAAGGCUGUCAGGGUAUAUUUUGAUUCGGUUCAUCAACCAGCUGGACUUGCCAAUGAACUUGCAAAAAAUUCUGCAAAUUUGAAAGGACUUCGAUUUAUAACAAAACAACAACUGAACAUAUUAUA